RNAcentral lists this ribosomal RNA (706 nucleotides) under Pseudomonas aeruginosa. RNAcentral describes it as "bacterial SSU rRNA". It matches the Rfam family "Bacterial small subunit ribosomal RNA", at positions 56 to 758 of the family's 1533-position model. The record is from RNAcentral. Lineage: Bacteria; Pseudomonadati; Pseudomonadota; Gammaproteobacteria; Pseudomonadales; Pseudomonadaceae.
UGCAGUCGAGCGGAUGAAGGGAGCUUGCUCCUGGAUUCAGCGGCGGACGGGUGAGUAAUGCCUAGGAAUCUGCCUGGUAGUGGGGGAUAACGUCCGGAAACGGGCGCUAAUACCGCAUACGUCCUGAGGGAGAAAGUGGGGGAUCUUCGGACCUCACGCUAUCAGAUGAGCCUAGGUCGGAUUAGCUAGUUGGUGGGGUAAAGGCCUACCAAGGCGACGAUCCGUAACUGGUCUGAGAGGAUGAUCAGUCACACUGGAACUGAGACACGGUCCAGACUCCUACGGGAGGCAGCAGUGGGGAAUAUUGGACAAUGGGCGAAAGCCUGAUCCAGCCAUGCCGCGUGUGUGAAGAAGGUCUUCGGAUUGUAAAGCACUUUAAGUUGGGAGGAAGGGCAGUAAGUUAAUACCUUGCUGUUUUGACGUUACCAACAGAAUAAGCACCGGCUAACUUCGUGCCAGCAGCCGCGGUAAUACGAAGGGUGCAAGCGUUAAUCGGAAUUACUGGGCGUAAAGCGCGCGUAGGUGGUUCAGCAAGUUGGAUGUGAAAUCCCCGGGCUCAACCUGGGAACUGCAUCCAAAACUACUGAGCUAGAGUACGGUAGAGGGUGGUGGAAUUUCCUGUGUAGCGGUGAAAUGCGUAGAUAUAGGAAGGAACACCAGUGGCGAAGGCGACCACCUGCACUGAUACUGACACUGAGGUGCGAAA